UUUGGUCGCUGGGGGCGUCCCGACGGUCGGGACUGAGAUCCCCGGAGUCUUCCGGGGAGACCCUUCGAACCUGUACGGGUUAUGCCGGCGGAGGGAAGCGACGUCCGGGCUCA
Molecule: non-coding RNA, 113 nt
Filed under: Kiritimatiella glycovorans
Lineage: Bacteria; Pseudomonadati; Kiritimatiellota; Kiritimatiellia; Kiritimatiellales; Kiritimatiellaceae
Description: TPP sequence
Rfam family: TPP riboswitch aptamer (THI element)
About the family: Vitamin B(1) in its active form thiamin pyrophosphate (TPP) is an essential coenzyme that is synthesised by coupling of pyrimidine and thiazole moieties in bacteria. The previously detected thiamin-regulatory element, thi box was extended, resulting in a new, highly conserved RNA secondary structure, the THI element, which is widely distributed in eubacteria and also occurs in some archaea.
Source: Rfam by way of RNAcentral